RNAcentral lists this long non-coding RNA (3063 nucleotides) under Aquila chrysaetos chrysaetos. RNAcentral describes it as "lncRNA (ENSACCG00020004412.1)". The record is from RNAcentral. Lineage: Eukaryota; Metazoa; Chordata; Aves; Accipitriformes; Accipitridae.
GCGCCAGCACCUGGGACCGCCCCUCCUGUACACGGGGGCCGGUGCUGCGCCGAUGUCCCCGGCGCGCCCACGGGCGCGCCGGGGACAUCGGCGCAGCACCGGCCCCCGUGUACAGGAGGGGGGUUGCAGUGCCCGCCGGUGCUUCCCCUCCCUGUCCCCUGGAACGAGGAAGCGGCUCCGGCCACCUUCAGCCGUCACUCGGCAGUGUAGUUCUCCGCUGGUACCAUCCUCUCGCCCUGCAUCCCCGGGUGCAGGGACAUUUCACCACCCGGGGAUUGAAGGUGCUGGCUCUGGACAUGGCUGGGCAGAGAGGAGGGCUGCCCCUGCCCCUGCUGCUGCUGAGCCUUGCCGUGCUGGACUUCACGCUAGGGACCACCGUCACAGAUGUGACAGUCACUAUGUCCCCGACACUCCCUAUCUCCUCGACACCUACAAAGACCAUGGCACUGCUGCCCACCACCGACUCCACCACCGCAGCCACUGUCCCUCCCUCCAGCCCUGAAACCUCCACCCCGGAGGCGCUGACGGAUGCCUUCACAGCCAGCGAUGCAACGCCUCGCGGGAGCAGCGCGGCAGCCUCCAGCAUCACCACACCGCAGGCGAGCGGCAGCACAGCCCGCAGCACUCCUGGGGCGCCCACUGGCACCACGGUGCAGCCUGACCCCACCCCAACAGGGCCAGGGCUCACCACCGGCACCCCAACUCCAACCCCCAUGGCCACGACACCCAACUGUGCUGAGACGACCAUUGUCACGUCUGUGGGGACCAGCACGGCCCUGGCUGUCAGCUCGUUUGGAGUCAAAACAAGCCCGCUGCCUCCCUCCCCCUCUUCUCUUCUCUCCUCCACCCGGGUGGGCUCCACGCUUGGCACCAGCACCCGCCAAGGGCCAGCCGUGACCACGCUGCUUGGCAGCACAUCCCCAGGGACCGGCAGCGCCUCUUCGCCCACCGCACCGACAGCCACUUCGGACGAGCCCUCGACGACCCCGCUGGACACCACGGCCACCCCAGUUACCAGCAUGGGGGUCCCUGGGAGCACCUCCGCCCCCAGCCAGCCAGCCGGGACCACGGCCGGGACCACCCCUGGUACCUCCACCCCUACGGCACCCGAGACCCCCAGUGCCGCCACGGGGACCACUGCCACAGAUGUGACAGUCACCGUGUCCACAGCUCACCCUACCUACCCAACACCUAUGGAGACCUCGGCACUGCUGCCCACCAGCACCUCCACCACCGCAGCCACUGUCCCUCCCUCCAGCCCUGAAACUGGAGCCUCCACCCCUGAAACUGGACCCUCCACCCCAGAGAUGUCCAGUACAUCACCAGGGCCCGGCAGCACCUCUUCUCCCACCAUGCCUCCUCCCACCGCACCAGCACCGACAGCUGCUUCGGCCGAGCCCUUGACAUCAGACACCACGGCCACCCCUGAUACCAGCACGGGGGUCCGUGGGAGCACUCCCGCUCCCGGCCAGCCAGCGGGAACCACAGCCAGAGCCACCCCUGGCAUCUCCACCGUGACCACGGGGCUAGUCCCAGGCACCCCGACAGCACCCGAGACCCCCAGUACAGCCACGGGCGUGGAGCCCUCUUCCCCCGCCACCGACUCAACCCAGACCCCAGAGGUUACCCUCAGCACCCCUGCAGACCUACCAACGACACUGCCCGUCUGCGACACCGCCACGUCCAACACCAGUGCAUCUCACCUCUUUUUGUCACUGCGGCUAACUGUCCCCUUGGACCUGGGGAACACCACAGUGCAGGAACUGGUGUUGUCCAAGCUCCGCAGGGACCUGCAGACGGCGUUCCCAUUUGCCGGCCUGGCAGUGGAGUGGCGAGGGCACAGGAGGACCUGACUGCUGCUCCUCGCCUGGCCGGCACCCGUGCGGACUGGCAAGCCUUCUUCUCCCAGCUCCUUACUCCACGGCGGCGCAGCCCUUCGGGGUAACCUGUACAGCUCCCCUUGAACCUGGGAACCCCCUGUCCUUCACUGCACACCCCCCAGAGGACCCCCAGUGCCUCCCGUGGGCUGGGGUGCCCCUGCCCCUUCCACAGCCCGUCUGUAGAGCCCGAGCCCUCCCACCACACUGCACCAGCCGUGGGACCCCCCAGUGCUGCUGGGGGGCUGGGAGGAGGGGAACCUGCAGGGGCUGGGCUUUUACACCUGGGACUGAGAUGGCUCAGCCACAAAAGCCACCCUGGGGAUCGAUGGAUGAGAGCAAGGAGACCUGGACCCCCCGGUACUGCUGUGCCCGGGGCACUCGGGGGCUCAGUGCUGGUGACCUCUGUGGUUUGCAGCCUGGGGAGGCUGCGGUGCCCGAGGUCUUCAAGAGAUGCUCCAUGGCUGCUUCACAUCCAGACCGGGCCAAGAUGGAGCCUGGGGUGGCUCUGGGAAGGAGGCAGGAGAGGAAAAGAGCCCGCCUCUCCCACCUGAGCCCCGUCCCAGGUCCAGCUGAGCUCCUGAGCCCUGCAGCGCAGAGGGCGAGUGAAGCCAGAGCCCCGCACACCAUCUGUCCCCGGCUCGCCUACAAUAUUGCUGACAGAGGAGCACACCCAUGCCAACACGGGCUGGGCAGUAAAGGAAAUCCCACGUUUUCUGCAGCAAAGAUGAUGACUUCUUUUUUUUCUGAAUUGCCUUCCCCAGUUUUCAGCUUUGCCAUCUAGCAGAGGUACGGGCAAGAAAAAACGGCUGAGUCCCAAAAGCUUCGCAGCAGAGACGGGCUCAGGGCUGUCCCCUCCUGUCAGGGGCUGCUGCAGAUGUUCCCAAGGAUGGCUUGGCACCUCGACACGCUGGGGGGUCCCCGCUUUCAUGCUCUGCCCCAUGACACCCCAUGGCUGCCAGGGCAGCUGUGCACACCAUGGGGCCAUGGAAAUCCCGUGGGUUGUGCUCCUUCCCUGUUUUUUUCCAGUCCCCACCUAAGGAGACGGCCGCAGCGUCUGUCCCCCUGCAGCAAAGUCAUUUAUUAACUGAUUAAUUAGCCAGAUAAAAUCCAACUGAAGCAAUUAUUAGCCUAAGCAAGUCACCUCGCCUGGAGAUUGAAAACUGAAAUAAUUAGCAAAAUAGCU